Molecule: ribosomal RNA, 301 nt
Filed under: uncultured bacterium
Lineage: Bacteria
Description: partial 16S ribosomal RNA
Rfam family: Bacterial small subunit ribosomal RNA
Source: RNAcentral
CAGCCGCCACGGUAAUACGAAGGGGGCUAGCGUUGUUCGGAAUUACUGGGCGUAAAGCGCACGUAGGCGGACAUUUAAGUCAGGGGUGAAAUCCCGGGGCUCAACCCCGGAACUGCCUUUGAUACUGGGUGUCUAGAGUAUGGAAGAGGUGAGUGGAAUUCCGAGUGUAGAGGUGAAAUUCGUAGAUAUUCGGAGGAACACCAGUGGCGAAGGCGGCUCACUGGUCCAUUACUGACGCUGAGGUGCGAAAGCGUGGGGAGCAAACAGGAUUAGAUACCCCGGUAGUCCCUGUCUCUUAUAC